RNAcentral lists this ribosomal RNA (1641 nucleotides) under Parabacteroides merdae. RNAcentral's name for it is "bacterial SSU rRNA". It matches the Rfam family "Bacterial small subunit ribosomal RNA". The record is from RNAcentral. Lineage: Bacteria; Pseudomonadati; Bacteroidota; Bacteroidia; Bacteroidales; Tannerellaceae.
AACAACGAAGAGUUUGAUCCUGGCUCAGGAUGAACGCUAGCGACAGGCUUAACACAUGCAAGUCGAGGGGCAGCAUGAUUUGUAGCAAUACAGAUUGAUGGCGACCGGCGCACGGGUGAGUAACGCGUAUGCAACUUACCUAUCAGAGGGGGAUAGCCCGGCGAAAGUCGGAUUAAUACCCCAUAAAACAGGGGUCCCGCAUGGGAAUAUUUGUUAAAGAUUCAUCGCUGAUAGAUAGGCAUGCGUUCCAUUAGGCAGUUGGCGGGGUAACGGCCCACCAAACCGACGAUGGAUAGGGGUUCUGAGAGGAAGGUCCCCCACAUUGGUACUGAGACACGGACCAAACUCCUACGGGAGGCAGCAGUGAGGAAUAUUGGUCAAUGGCCGAGAGGCUGAACCAGCCAAGUCGCGUGAAGGAAGAAGGAUCUAUGGUUUGUAAACUUCUUUUAUAGGGGAAUAAAGUGGAGGACGUGUCCUUUUUUGUAUGUACCCUAUGAAUAAGCAUCGGCUAACUCCGUGCCAGCAGCCGCGGUAAUACGGAGGAUGCGAGCGUUAUCCGGAUUUAUUGGGUUUAAAGGGUGCGUAGGUGGUGAUUUAAGUCAGCGGUGAAAGUUUGUGGCUCAACCAUAAAAUUGCCGUUGAAACUGGGUUACUUGAGUGUGUUUGAGGUAGGCGGAAUGCGUGGUGUAGCGGUGAAAUGCAUAGAUAUCACGCAGAACUCCGAUUGCGAAGGCAGCUUACUAAACCAUAACUGACACUGAAGCACGAAAGCGUGGGGAUCAAACAGGAUUAGAUACCCUGGUAGUCCACGCAGUAAACGAUGAUUACUAGGAGUUUGCGAUACAAUGUAAGCUCUACAGCGAAAGCGUUAAGUAAUCCACCUGGGGAGUACGCCGGCAACGGUGAAACUCAAAGGAAUUGACGGGGGCCCGCACAAGCGGAGGAACAUGUGGUUUAAUUCGAUGAUACGCGAGGAACCUUACCCGGGUUUGAACGUAGUCUGACCGGAGUGGAAACACUCCUUCUAGCAAUAGCAGAUUACGAGGUGCUGCAUGGUUGUCGUCAGCUCGUGCCGUGAGGUGUCGGCUUAAGUGCCAUAACGAGCGCAACCCUUAUCACUAGUUACUAACAGGUGAAGCUGAGGACUCUGGUGAGACUGCCAGCGUAAGCUGUGAGGAAGGUGGGGAUGACGUCAAAUCAGCACGGCCCUUACAUCCGGGGCGACACACGUGUUACAAUGGCAUGGACAAAGGGCAGCUACCUGGCGACAGGAUGCUAAUCUCCAAACCAUGUCUCAGUUCGGAUCGGAGUCUGCAACUCGACUCCGUGAAGCUGGAUUCGCUAGUAAUCGCGCAUCAGCCAUGGCGCGGUGAAUACGUUGAUGCUAAUCUCCAAACCAUGUCUCAGUUCGGAUCGGAGUCUGCAACUCGACUCCGUGAAGCUGGAUUCGCUAGUAAUCGCGCAUCAGCCAUGGCGCGGUGAAUACGUUCCCGGGCCUUGUACACACCGCCCGUCAAGCCAUGGGAGCCGGGGGUACCUGAAGUCCGUAACCGCAAGGAUCGGCCUAGGGUAAAACUGGUGACUGGGGCUAAGUCGUAACAAGGUAGCCGUACCGGAAGGUGCGGCUGGAACACCUCCUUU